RNAcentral lists this small RNA (532 nucleotides) under Pan troglodytes (chimpanzee). RNAcentral describes it as "retained intron". The record is from RNAcentral. Lineage: Eukaryota; Metazoa; Chordata; Mammalia; Primates; Hominidae.
UGCUCAGCACCUCGGUGAGGGCUGCAGGCGGACGCCCUGUCUUCCCGCCCUCAGAGGAACAUGCUUUCUGUGCCAACCUGGGGCCCGUCCAGAGCAGCAGCAGCAGCGAGGGCCUGGCCAGAGCCCAGGGGCUCAGCAGCGAAGCUUCUGUGGAGAGCAACGAGGACUCGGAUCACGCCUGUAAAAGCUCAGCUCGCAAACAAGCUAAAAGUUACAUGAAGACCAAGAAUCCUGACAGCCAGUGGCCUCCCCGCACUGCAACUGACAGGGAAGGCUUUCUCGCUGAGUCCAGCCCCCAGACUCAGAGGGCCCCCUACUCGGGACCCCAGCACACUGACACCACCCCAUACAGUGGCAUUCCAGAAGGAGAGCAGAAACGAUGGGUGAGAAACAGCCUGACCAUCUCAGUGGAUCAGAAACACAGAUCUUACAUCCAGGGAGCUCGGUGAACUCCAGACAGGUGAACUCGGAGAAGAGCUGCGCUUAGACAAGUGGAAAUCAGAACAUCCGACACCGAGACUCUAGAAUUAGA